AGCGGCGGACGGGUGAGUAAUGCUUAGGAAUCUGCCUAUUAGUGGGGGACAACAUCUCGAAAGGGAUGCUAAUACCGCAUACGUCCUACGGGAGAAAGCAGGGGAUCUUCGGACCUUGCGCUAAUAGAUGAGCCUAAGUCGGAUUAGCUAGUUGGUGGGGUAAAGGCCUACCAAGGCGACGAUCUGUAGCGGGUCUGAGAGGAUGAUCCGCCACACUGGGACUGAGACACGGCCCAGACUCCUACGGGAGGCAGCAGUGGGGAAUAUUGGACAAUGGGGGGAACCCUGAUCCAGCCAUGCCGCGUGUGUGAAGAAGGCCUUAUGGUUGUAAAGCACUUUAAGCGAGGAGGAGGCUACUCUAGUUAAUACCUAGAGAUAGUGGACGUUACUCGCAGAAUAAGCACCGGCUAACUCUGUGCCAGCAGCCGCGGUAAUACAGAGGGUGCGAGCGUUAAUCGGAUUUACUGGGCGUAAAGCGUGCGUAGGCGGCUUAUUAAGUCGGAUGUGAAAUCCCCGAGCUUAACUUGGGAAUUGCAUUCGAUACUGGUGAGCUAGAGUAUGGGA
RNAcentral lists this ribosomal RNA (564 nucleotides) under Acinetobacter sp. Its description in RNAcentral is "bacterial SSU rRNA". It matches the Rfam family "Bacterial small subunit ribosomal RNA", at positions 94 to 653 of the family's 1533-position model. The record is from RNAcentral. Lineage: Bacteria; Pseudomonadati; Pseudomonadota; Gammaproteobacteria; Moraxellales; Moraxellaceae.